RNAcentral lists this ribosomal RNA (429 nucleotides) under Bacillota bacterium. Its description in RNAcentral is "Firmicutes bacterium partial 16S ribosomal RNA". It matches the Rfam family "Bacterial small subunit ribosomal RNA", at positions 355 to 776 of the family's 1533-position model. Lineage: Bacteria; Bacillati; Bacillota. The record is from RNAcentral.
UAGGGAAUCUUCGGCAAUGGACGGAAGUCUGACCGAGCAACGCCGCGUGAGUGAAGAAGGUUUUCGGAUCGUAAAGCUCUGUUGUUAGAGAAGAACGUUGGUAGGAGUGGAAAAUCUACCAAGUGACGGUAACUAACCAGAAAGGGACGGCUAACUACGUGCCAGCAGCCGCGGUAAUACGUAGGUCCCGAGCGUUGUCCGGAUUUAUUGGGCGUAAAGCGAGCGCAGGCGGUUCUUUAAGUCUGAAGUUAAAGGCAGUGGCUUAACCAUUGUACGCUUUGGAAACUGGAGGACUUGAGUGCAGAAGGGGAGCGUGGAAUUCCAUGUGUAGCGGUGAAAUGCGUAGAUAUAUGGAGGAACACCGGUGGCGAAAGCGGCUCUCUGUUCUGUAACUGACGCUGAGGCUCGAAAGCGUGGGGAGCAAGCAGG